Molecule: ribosomal RNA, 253 nt
Filed under: uncultured bacterium
Lineage: Bacteria
Description: partial 16S ribosomal RNA
Rfam family: Bacterial small subunit ribosomal RNA
Source: RNAcentral
UACGUAGGGUGCAAGCGUUGUCCGGAAUUAUUGGGCGUAAAGAGUGCGCAGGCGGUUUGUCAAGUCAGCUGUGAAAUCUCGGGGCUCAACCCCGGGCCUGCAGUCGAUACGGGCAGACUAGAGUGCUGUAGGGGAGACUGGAAUUCCUGGUGUAGCGGUGAAAUGCGCAGAUAUCAGGAGGAACACCGGUGGCGAAGGCGGGUCUCUGGGCAGUAACUGACGCUGAGGAGCGAAAGCGUGGGGAGCGAACAGG